UGCCUCAGUAACGGCGAGUGAAGCGGCAAAGCUCAAAUUUGAAAUCCUUCGGGAGUUGUAAUUUGUAGGUUGGGAGACCCCGCGGCUAGUGGCACCAAGUCCCUUGGAACAGGGCGCCUUAGAGGGUGAGAGCCCCGUAGGUACCACGACGCCGUCUUUGUGUCUCCUCUCCAAAGAGUCGAGUUGUUUGGGAAUGCAGCUCAAAGUGGGUGGUAAAUUCCAUCUAAAGCUAAAUACCGGCGAGAGACCGAUAGCGAACAAGUACAGUGAUGGAAAGAUGAAAAGCACUUUGAAAAGAGAGUGAAACAGUACGUGAAAUUGUUGAAAGGGAAGGGCUUGCAAGCGCAUCGGUUGCUAGGGGUGGAUAAGUAGCUCCUCGGAGUAUUAUAGCCUUGCGCGAU
RNAcentral lists this ribosomal RNA (401 nucleotides) under Sungouiella intermedia. RNAcentral describes it as "eukaryotic LSU rRNA". It matches the Rfam family "Eukaryotic large subunit ribosomal RNA", at positions 76 to 496 of the family's 3401-position model. The record is from RNAcentral. Lineage: Eukaryota; Fungi; Ascomycota; Pichiomycetes; Serinales; Metschnikowiaceae.